RNAcentral lists this ribosomal RNA (491 nucleotides) under uncultured bacterium. Its description in RNAcentral is "partial 16S ribosomal RNA". It matches the Rfam family "Bacterial small subunit ribosomal RNA", at positions 29 to 507 of the family's 1533-position model. The record is from RNAcentral.
AGUGAACGCUGGCGGUAGGCCUAACACAUGCAAGUCGAACGGCAGCACAGUAAGAGCUUGCUCUUACGGGUGGCGAGUGGCGGACGGGUGAGGAAUACAUCGGAAUCUACUUUUUCGUGGGGGAUAACGUAGGGAAACUUACGCUAAUACCGCAUACGACCUACGGGUGAAGCAAGGGAUCUUCGGACCUUGCGCGCUUGAAUUAGCCGAUGUCGGAUUAGCUAGUUGGCGGGGUAAAGGCCCACCAAGGCGACGAUCCGUAGCUGGUCUGAGAGGAUGAUGAGCCACACUGGAACUGAGACACGGUCCAGACUCCUACGGGAGGCAGCAGUGGGGAAUAUUGGACAAUGGGCGCAAGCCUGAUCCAGCCAUACCGCGUGGGUGAAGAAGGCCUUCGGGUUGUAAAGCCCUUUUGUUGGGAAAGAAAAGCAGCAGGUUAAUACCCCGCUGUUCUGACGGUACCCAAAGAAUAAGCACCGGCUAACUUCGUG